GAUGAACGCUGGCGGCGUGCCUAAUACAUGCAAGUCGAGCGAACAGACGAGGAGCUUGCUCCUCUGAUGUUAGCGGCGGACGGGUGAGUAACACGUGGAUAACCUACCUAUAAGACUGGGAUAACUUCGGGAAACCUGAGCUAAUACCGGAUAACAUGUUGAACCGCAUGGUUCAACAGUGAAAGACGGUCUUGCUGUCACUUAUAGAUGGAUCCGCGCCGCAUUAGCUAGUUGGUAAGGUAACGGCUUACCAAGGCAACGAUGCGUAGCCGACCUGAGAGGGUGAUCGGCCACACUGGAACUGAGACACGGUCCAGACUCCUACGGGAGGCAGCAGUAGGGAAUCUUCCGCAAUGGGCGAAAGCCUGACGGAGCAACGCCGCGUGAGUGAAGAAGGUCUUCGGAUCGUAAAACUCUGUUAUUAGGGAAGAACAAAUGUGUAAGUAACUAUGCACGUCUUGACGGUACCUAAUCAGAAAGCCACGGCUAACUACGUG
This 497-nucleotide ribosomal RNA is filed under the name uncultured bacterium. RNAcentral describes it as "partial 16S ribosomal RNA". It matches the Rfam family "Bacterial small subunit ribosomal RNA", at positions 28 to 507 of the family's 1533-position model. The record is from RNAcentral.